GCCAGACUCCUACGGGAGGCAGCAGUGGGGAAUAUUGGACAAUGGGGGGAACCCUGAUCCAGCGACGCCGCGUGAGUGAAGAAGUAUUUCGGUAUGUAAAGCUCUAUCAGCAGGGAAGAAAGAAAUGACGGUACCUGACUAAGAAGCCCCGGCUAACUACGUGCCAGCAGCCGCGGUAAUACGUAGGGGGCAAGCGUUAUCCGGAUUUACUGGGUGUAAAGGGAGCGUAGACGGCAAUGCAAGUCUGGAGUGAAAGGCGGGGGCCCAACCCCCGGACUGCUCUGGAAACUGUAUAGCUGGAGUGCAGGAGAGGUAAGUGGAAUUCCUAGUGUAGCGGUGAAAUGCGUAGAUAUUAGGAGGAACAUCAGUGGCGAAGGCGACUUUCUGGACUGUAACUGACGCUGAGGCACGAAAGUGUGGGGAGCAAACAGGAUUAGAUACCCUCGUAC
RNAcentral lists this ribosomal RNA (449 nucleotides) under uncultured bacterium. Its description in RNAcentral is "bacterial SSU rRNA". It matches the Rfam family "Bacterial small subunit ribosomal RNA", at positions 330 to 793 of the family's 1533-position model. The record is from RNAcentral.